This 253-nucleotide ribosomal RNA is filed under the name uncultured bacterium. RNAcentral's name for it is "partial 16S ribosomal RNA". It matches the Rfam family "Bacterial small subunit ribosomal RNA", at positions 524 to 776 of the family's 1533-position model. The record is from RNAcentral.
UACGUAGGGGGCAAGCGUUGUCCGGAAUCAUUGGGCGUAAAGUGUGCGCAGGCGGCCGCGCAAGUCGAGUGUGAAAGCCCCGAGCUUAACUUGGGAAUUGCGCUCGAAACUACGUGGCUGGAGUGUGGCAGAGGAAGGUGGAAUUCCAGGUGUAGCGGUGAAAUGCGUAGAGAUGCGGAGGAACACCGAUGGCGAAGGCAGCCCCCUGGGCCGACAUUGACGCUCAGGCACGAAAGCGUGGGGAGCAAACAGG